UACGUAGGGUGCAAGCGUUGUCCGGAAUUAUUGGGCGUAAAGGGCUCGUAGGCGGUCCAUCGCGUCGGGAGUGAAAAGCUGGGGCUUAACCCCAGUCCUGCUUCCGAUACGGGUGGACUAGAGGUAGGUAGGGGAGAUCGGAAUUCCUGGUGUAGCGGUGAAAUGCGCAGAUAUCAGGAGGAACACCGGUGGCGAAGGCGGAUCUCUGGGCCUUACCUGACGCUGAGGAGCGAAAGCCAGGGGAGCAAACGGG
This 253-nucleotide ribosomal RNA is filed under the name uncultured bacterium. RNAcentral describes it as "partial 16S ribosomal RNA". It matches the Rfam family "Bacterial small subunit ribosomal RNA", at positions 524 to 776 of the family's 1533-position model. The record is from RNAcentral.